ACUUCCCCUUUCCAUGUGUUAAGCAUCGCCGGCUCACGCAGGCGUGCACCGGCAUGCAGAAUGUUUCCAGGGUCCCGCAAGCCAAGAGCCUCGAUGCCUUCAGGCUUUUGACGUCAUGUUCCAAAAGAAAAGGUAAGCACCCUACGAGUACUCCUCCUUCAAACGAGCUUCCUCGGUAAUUUUAUUCGAACUACAAGACAAAAUGACCAGUCAUUUUCUUCCAAUUAUCGCCAGC
Molecule: long non-coding RNA, 235 nt
Filed under: Elaeis guineensis (African oil palm)
Lineage: Eukaryota; Viridiplantae; Streptophyta; Magnoliopsida; Arecales; Arecaceae
Description: long non-coding RNA (EGUI_LNC001653)
Source: RNAcentral